UUCAUCUCAUUGAACAAGCGACUGGAAUCUUCUGGGCUUCCACAUUUACCAUAAAAAGUAAUAAGCGCAUUGGAGACUGUUAUAAAAGAAAUCAAACCAGAAACUAUGGCUCGACAAUGAAAUUGGGCACCCUCUUCUAGGCUAGCCAGGUUUGCACAUGAGCUUAUUACACUUGCUAGAGUAAAAUAAUCUGGCUCAAUUCCAUUUCUCCGCAUGUCACAGAAAACCCUGACAGCUUCUUCACUGAAGCCAUUCUGGCCAUAACCCACUAACAUUGCAGUCCAUGUUACAACAUUCUUACGUGUCAUUCUCUUAAAAACUGCUUCUGCAUAUCGGAUAAUUUUACAUUUGCAGUACAUGUCAACAAGCGCACUACCCACAAAGAUGUUAUCCUUAUAAUCACUCCGAAUUAUGAAGGCAUGA
This 423-nucleotide unclassified non-coding RNA is filed under the name Hevea brasiliensis (rubber tree). The record is from RNAcentral. Lineage: Eukaryota; Viridiplantae; Streptophyta; Magnoliopsida; Malpighiales; Euphorbiaceae.